Long non-coding RNA from Gadus morhua (Atlantic cod), 6662 nucleotides. RefSeq lists it as uncharacterized. The transcript has 2 exons. The record is from RefSeq and is a predicted model, not a curated record. Lineage: Eukaryota; Metazoa; Chordata; Actinopteri; Gadiformes; Gadidae.
UGUGUGUGUGUGUGUGUGUGUGUGUGUGUGUGUGUGUGUGUGUGUGUGUGUGUGUGUGUGUGUGUGUGUGUGUGUGUCGUGGUGGUAUACAGUUGAAGGUUGGUUGUGUUUGAAGGACUGAUCCGCAAAAACAACUAAUCACAAAACAGAAACUUGGGAAUUUGUUUGUGCACUAUGGUAGAAAGCUAAAAGCCAGUGCAGUUUGUGUGCACUUUCUUGUGUUGGACAAAACAAAGAUAGAGCUUAGGGAGCCUCUAAACACUCCUUAGGAAUACAAUGGAUAAUCGCCAAACUAGCUGAACAAAAAGUUGCACAAAAAUCAUAGCUGUUAACAUCUCGACGAAGAAAACGUUAACAAUUACCUGGGGUUUGAACAAAACUGCCCAAAUCCUUAAGCGCGCAGGGGUCAGGGGUGUUUAGAAUGCCUACAGGUAGACUGUGGGCGUCAAAGGUCGAACCCUGAACCGGUCCCCAGUAGACCAGCUGAUUGGGGUAGUACAAGGCUGGGUUAGGGCCUGUGACAGAAGAACAUUCACAUUCACACAUGCAUGCCCCCUCCCCGUCCCAUAUGAGCAUAAAGGGACGGGGCCUCGCAGUCUCCGUUGCCAUGGACACUGCAGGGAACAGGGGAAUGACCUCCAUCAUCGUGGUCUUUCUAGUGGCCCUCUGGAGCACAACGCGCCGUGUGUGGGUGUGCGUGUGUAUGUUUGCCAUUUGUGAAUGAAAAUAUCUGCAAAGUGUCAAAGCCACUCCCCUCCCUCCCUCCCUCCCUCCCUCCCUCCCUCUCGUCAGUUGACUGUGCCCAAAUCUGUUCAUCAAAGUGGUUCUGAACUUGAUAUCACCGCCACAUCCUCCCUCCCCCUCCACCAACACCUCCCUCUCCCUCCACAACCUCUAUAAUAAGUAGGUUGUCCCUGAAGACAAGUGAAACAAUAUCUUUGGUUGGGAGUGUGUGUGUGUGGGGGGGGGGGGAGAGAGAGAGAAGUGGUUGGGGAGAGUAAGGGUUUGAUUCUUCCUUAAAGAUUUCAUUUCAACCCCUGAGGGAGGGAGACUGUCUGGACUGAACUAGCCAUAUAAAGCAGUGUCAGCACUUUGUUCUUUCUCUCUCUCGCUCUCACUCUCUCUCUCUCCUUCUCUCUAUGUGAAGUUGUACUUGAAAACAAUACGUCUGAAAUGUACCAUAUCCAAAAAGGUCUUUGAUAUUAUCUUUUUCUUUGUCUUUCUUUCGUUUUGGUGUAACGCUAGGGACGCUGUCCAUCCAUAGAGAUUUCAUCGGAGCCCCCCUGGAGGGGUGAAGAUCUAUGCGCACGGUUUUGUAAACCGUUCCCUCGGAUUCAGACUCAGCGCUUUGGAUUUGGUGUAUUCUACACAGCAUGAAUUCUCCAUGACAGCAUUGUGACAGCUGGUCCUACACAGGCCUCACGCAUGAGUAUGAGAUGAGGCAAACGUAGUGUUUCAGUCAGAGAUUAGUUUAUUUUUAACAAACGUUCAAAAAUCAUCCUCACUUUAAAAGAUAAAUCCUACAUUCAGUCGUUCAAACUGAAGAGAUGCCGGUCUGAAUCACAUAGGCGUUCGCCGUCACAGUGAUCAUGGGGAAUCCCUGUUGAGUAGAACAUAGCAGAUCCGUGCACACGGAUUGGGAAAACGGUGCGCACGGUUUCGGAAUCUGAGGGAACGGUUUACAAAUCAAUGCCCACAGAUUUACUCAUCAAGGUAUUUUUUCUAUCAUGUGACCCCACGGGGGCUCAAACUACAUGCAUGGCCUAUUAAAAAAGGGCCUUUUUUCUGGGUUGUCACAUCAGCCCUGUGCAAAAAGAAAGGAAUAACACUAAAUCUCAAAGACAUAAAGUGUAUAGUGAGUGUAUUAACACAAUGAUUGGUGGUGGAAUUGGCUACAUUGGCAUAGGAACCAAUUGCUGUUAGUUAUCUUCCUCUGAAAUAAAUAAAGACAUUGCAACCAUGAAUUGAAGAGGCCCAAAUUGGUGCAUAAAAAUUCACCAGAGUGCAGGAAGUUAAGUGUUUGAUGUCCUGGGGGUAGACCCCUCCGACUCCAUAUGACACACUCAUUACUACAGCACACCCUUGGGCUGCAAUGUAACCAUCUGAAAUCUUGCCUGAAGAACACAGGCACCAUAUUAGUCUGUGAGGGCCCGGCCCUGGGUAAGCCUACUCUUUUGAAGGGAGUAACUCAUCAGUAAAUCGUCUCUCUAUGGAGUGCCACCACCAGGGGGCAGUAUGAAAGUGUCAACCCACAUUCUCAUCUGGAGAGUUAAUCAAAUGAUCAUGGCUUAGUGUUUGUGGUAUCCUAUAGAUUGACAGUGUGUGUGUGUUUGAGUUAAAAUUGUUCUGUCAGAAAUCGUAAAACCAGACCGGAAUAGCUUGCGUUCAGUCUAUAAUUAUGCUUUGGGUGUCUCACGGAAACGCAAGCGUGUGAUUGACAGUUUGGGAUCAGGGUAAUUAAAGACAAAGAAAUAUUAUGGUAAUCUAUGCAGAAUUAUAAUGCUGUAGUAAUGCUGCCAUCGCUUCUUAUCAUAACAAGAAGGAGCAACAAGGGAAAGACAGAACUUUGUAAAGGCCUCUCUGAAUUCCUCCAACAUUCAGUUUUUUUGGGAGAGAUUUGGUGUGAAUGAAAUACACCUGAGGCAGCUCAGACGACCUAAAUAACUUUAUUCGAGGCAACGGGACGCAUUGGUUCCUGUAUCUCUGCGAUAACUGAGGUUUCCUUCUCGCAAAUUGUCACAAAACACGCCAUCCAAAUGGGCCUCUGGUCUCUCCGGUGUUUUGUUGCGUUGAAUGAAGACCUGGGAGUCCUCCCAUUGGACGAUUCCGUGACAAAAUGAUUCCAUAAUUCAAUCCUCCUUCAGCAGGAGCGUGCAAAGAUAACACCAAAGGAUUGCUCGCAAACAGCAGCCGCAAACAAUUACACAGCAUGACCCCCCCAUACGGUACACGAGGAGCUGGGCUUUGAAAGAACAUAUGAGAGAGAGCGUGAGUGAGUGAGUUUGGGGUAAAUAUUCCGGUUGGCCUUGCGGCCUGCGUGUGCAGACCAAUUAAAUGCUUGGUCGUGGUGACAGAAAGCUGACGCUUAAUUUGGGUUUACAAUUAAGCAACAGAAGGAGGACAGUUUUUGUUGGACGCGUUCUGCUGGCUAGCAACAAAGCAAAAUAAAGCUGCCGCUGUCAACAAAAAAUUAAGAGACAACACAAUGAUGAUGUGGCGACGAAAUGCUGGAGACUUGGUUGACCGUUGCGUUUGACUGCUCUUAAUUUGAAUAAUCACUCGCGAUUUAGGACUAGAGCAGCGGCUUUCAAACUUUGGGUCAAGAGUCACAUGAGUGGUUCAAGUGUUUCAAAGGUUCGUCAAAUAUUUCUUAUUGCCCGGUGAUGCCUACAGGUCUCAAUGAGGACAUUUGGGCUUGAACAUAUAAACUUUUAGCUAAGAAUCAAUACCUUCCUUUUGUUAUGCCCCCUUCCUUUUACCCUCCUCUACCAAUCCUCUGGUCCUCUACCUUGCUUAUAUUCUACUUUAUCUGGUUGUCGUGUACUCUGUGACGCUAUCCUUCAGUUAGCUGUGAAUGUAUCACUCUCUCUUUCAGUGUACAGGGAAAUGUGGGGUUAUUUACAAAUACCGAAAUUAAUAUCAUGUUUUGGUUCAAUGCUCAUGUUGUACCAAAAAUGCAGCCACGGUAGGCUAUCAUAGCACAAUUCUAAGAACGGCGGUUUUCUGGCUUCAAGACAUGAAUAACAAGACAAACUGCUGAGAUUUCUCUGCCUGCUCCAUUCCCGGGCUGUAAUGCAGUCAUGCAUUCAGUCAUUCAGACAUUCAGUCAUUGUGUACCUGCUUUCUUUUGCCACUCUAUUGCAAUCCCAAAUGCCCAAAAGUAUAUUUUUAAUCACAUUGCUUUACAAUUCAUCCUAUUGCUAAAGCCUCUUCCGUUGCAGAAACAUAAGUAGAUACUGCAAUUCCGUUAGUCAUUGUGAAUUAUUUUAAGUUAGUGUGAAUGCAUACAGUACCUAGAACUGUUGAUUAGCCAGACAUUAACAGACAAUAUUUGGUGUGAUUGCCUGUUGUCAUAACCCAAUCAAAGCUCUUCUCAAGAUAAUUUAACAUCCCUUGGGAAUAUAAAAAGUGGCGGAAGUUGUUGAUAGACGAUGGUGUGAUUUGCAGAUUUUUGUAGCCUUCUUCAGCCCCUAUAUCCGAGCCACUUACAAAAAUACCAAUCAUGUAUAAUGAGUAAAUCAAAUUCACAGAGCAUGAUCAUUGGUUUCUGAAACAAAUUUAGUGUUCACAUAAAUACAUAUGACAUAAGCUUGCCAGAGCUAUAAGUUGCUCAUAUAUGACGACGAAUGAAACCUUCAAGCAGUCUUUAAUCGACAGUGGCAGUAGUGUAAACAAAGGACAAUUGAUCUUCGUUCCUAAAGUAGCCUGCAUGUCUUGAUGACCACCAGAUGGCAACAGAAUUUACAUUUUAGCAUUGUAGACAUACAUGAUUUUUUUUUCCUGCUACCCAAAAUGAAAACAAAUCACUGUGUCAAUGCGCCACAGCAUGAACAAAGAUGCAAUGUUUUCCAAACAGUCCUUUUGUAUGUUGUGGGCUAUUGGCUGCAUACAAAGGAGUCGGUACAAAAUAAUGAUAAUAAUUCAUGCAAUCGUGCACAACAGGGUGACACAUGGCUGGGAGAGGUGGGCAUCUGGUCCAAUCACACCUUUUGGAUUAGCAAGCGGCAGACAUAUUGAUUAAGGCUGUUUAAAAAACUAUCAAAUUCUGCUCAUGGGAAAAAAACUGUCUCAGGUAAAUCCAUCUUGACGACACACAGAAUCCAACAGCACAACCUCCGGGCUAUUCGAUCCCAUCCCAUCAUAGCGCAUCGGACCAAAAGGGUUUAUGUCUGUUUCUCUUGUAAACUUCUUCCUUUGGGGCUCUUCGGUUUUCCCCACACUAGUUUUCGACUUCCCCUCACCGGCUGCUUCUUUCGCCGCCUUCGGCUCGUUCUCUACAAGCAUAUUGGCUGUUGUUAGCGGCAACCGCCUCGCUGUCUCUUGUUAGCUGACAACAGAACGGAGAAAGUGGAGGGAGGGGUGCAGACGUUCUGCUUGUUUGAGCCCAUAUGGUCAUACAGACAGACAGACAGACAGACAGACAGACAGACAGACAGACAGACAGACACAAAUGGUUAAUUAUAACGUUUCACAUUCAGUUGGUGAUUGUAAACUAUUUAGCCAACCAUAAACAAUUAAUAAACUUUUUUUCAUCCCGCGGUAAUGAGUAUACAACUCAACUGUCAAAAUAGGCGGAGGCAGGAGAUCUGUAGCCUGGUCCUACCAGACUCUCUGGACCAGUGGUUAAUUUGAGCCGGAUCCUGCCGGAACAAGAUCCGGCACCUCUUAAUUUUGGCCUCGCUGUGUUCCGGUACUUAUUUGGGCAGAUCCGGUACCUCUCAUAAAAAGCAAAAACAAGUAAACAGAAAUUAUGAUAAAUUAAAUAUCACAGAGCAGGAUUGUAAAUGUUUACAAUAUCUCAUGUCAAUGAGACGAUGGUGGCCCUCCAUCGUGAUGUCAGUCAGCCAUCACGACGGACGAUGACAUAGUCCAUCGGAACAACCAUUACCUCUAACCCCCGUACUAAUAAUGGUGCGUUUGCGUUUUAUUAUCCAUUUGUCUCGGAGGUCCGAGGAUUGAUCUGCCAUAACCAAUCGCUAACGUUUGGCCGGAAAUCACGUUGCGCGCAGGCUGUAAACAAACCAAACAACGUGCGCUAACGUCAUAGCUCUCAGCCACUCCCUCUUCUCGCUGAUCUGACGCACAACAUUUGGACGGAGAAAACCUACUAACAUACCGCAGACCCAGACGUAGUACUGAAGGGGAAUUAAGAUUUAGUUGAAGUACUUUGGCGGGCGGAGCCAGGCUAGGAAAUCUGGAGAGUGUGUAAAAAAACCCCACAGAUCUUCCAAGAACAAAGCACCGAGAACCAGCUUGGCGUAGAUUCUACUGUGUGACGAAAUGGUGGGGAAAUAGUGUUGCCCAAUCUGGCAACACUGGUCUCCACCACCCCCUCUAGGUGAACAACAACCUCCGCUUCCACAUCCAGCAGUCACAACAGGCGGAACCGCCUGUCUGCUUGUGUGUGCUGACUCAAUCCCCUGAAGAACGAGGAAGAAACAAUGUGGAAGUGGUAGUCCACAAGCCGGUGUUCACGAGAGUUUGAACUGCUACUUUGCAAAGAAAAUGUUGCAGAAAAAUCUGCAGCCUCAUCACAGGGGGAUGAUGUCAAAACUCGUUUUAUGGAUUUGUUUGAAGAAAACGCUACAUGGCAGCAUUGAUUGAUUAAAGCCCAACAGGUGCGCAACCCCAGCGACCCCUGCUGGGGUUGCGCAACCCCUGCUCGGUUACGCACGGCACGUAGAUGCGGCACGGCGGACUCAAAGUAACGAGACCUCAUGGAAUGAAGCUGAAGUUAUUAUUGUGAAAAUUUGCUUUAUGUUUUUACCUGUUUGCAACAAAGGACUGAAUCUGUGAUUUAAUGUGAUAUAGUUCAAUUGAAGAAGAUUGUCAUGCGAGUUAUUGUAUACCACACAAUGGUGAUUUAGCCAAUGGCCCACUGAUGAAAGCCUUUUCAUUUGAAGUUUGAAGACCUGCUGAAUAAAGUGCUUGGGACCCAGCUU